UACGGAGGGUGCAAGCGUUAUCCGGAUUCACUGGGUUUAAAGGGUGCGUAGGCGGGUUGGUAAGUCAGUGGUGAAAUCCCCGAGCUUAACUUGGGAACUGCCAUUGAUACUAUCAGUCUUGAAUACCGUGGAGGUCGACGGAAUAUGUCAUGUAGCGGUGAAAUGCUUAGAUAUGACAUAGAACACCAAUUGCGAAGGCAGUUGACUACGCGAGUAUUGACGCUGAGGCACGAAAGCGUGGGGAUCAAACAGG
This 253-nucleotide ribosomal RNA is filed under the name uncultured bacterium. RNAcentral's name for it is "partial 16S ribosomal RNA". It matches the Rfam family "Bacterial small subunit ribosomal RNA", at positions 524 to 776 of the family's 1533-position model. The record is from RNAcentral.